RNAcentral lists this long non-coding RNA (308 nucleotides) under Astyanax mexicanus (Mexican tetra). RNAcentral describes it as "lncRNA (ENSAMXG00005008128.1)". Lineage: Eukaryota; Metazoa; Chordata; Actinopteri; Characiformes; Acestrorhamphidae. The record is from RNAcentral.
GGUGUUGGUGAUCAGUUACUCACUGAGGAGAAGCUAUGAAGCUAUGAAGCGGCUUAAAAGAAAGGUAUGGAGCAAGGGGCCAGACCUCUUCAGUAAUAACUCCCAGAGGAAUCUAAGUGACGGAACAAAGCAGGGCCUUGAUGGCUAGGGCAGAAAGGGCUGUAAAUCAGCCUGCGAUGCUUUCCACGGCAGGCUGAGAGAUGACUGCACAUUCAUAGGCCAUUCUUUAAUAUCGUCAAGGUUUCUAUUUUAUUUCCUUCUCUUCUACAGCGUCGAUUCCCCGAGGAGAAAGAGGCUCUCAAGACCUU